Bombus huntii is the source of this 1090-nucleotide long non-coding RNA. RefSeq lists it as uncharacterized. The transcript is spliced from 2 exons. NCBI's taxonomy places the organism in Eukaryota, Metazoa, Arthropoda, Insecta, Hymenoptera, Apidae. The record is from RefSeq and is a predicted model, not a curated record.
GAUCGCCAAAAUGUCACGUAAAGUUGGUACUUGGGUUGCGAGAGAAAAGAAAGCUGAGUCGUAGCCCAACUAUUAAUUCUCUUUUAUCGAACUUUAUUAUGACUUUGGCACUUACAGUAGAAUAACGUUGAACAGAGAAAGGGGUGUUGUACAAGAACAGCAACUAGAACGAGAACUCCCCGGGCUGGGUGAAGUCUCGGCUUAUAUACACCCUGGCUUGGGGAUGUUGGGGGGUUUGGUGUGGAUUCCAAGGAGUCCGAAAGUCGGGGUUGGGGCCUUAUCUCUGAUGGGGACUAAGAUGCGUCGCGGCGUUGGCGUCCGACAGUCGGGAGUCGAUGUCUUUUCUCUGAGAGGUAAUUGGUGUCACACGGUCAACGGGACGAACUCUCCAUCUAACAAAGGCAUUAAGUAAUCCUAUAGCUCUCCUUAAAAGAAAGAUUUGUAGCGGCACAUGGCAGUAAACAUUCCAACGGUUUCUGUCCCGUAGCUCGCCACACGCAGAUCCUAUUCUCCGGGCAGGAUGUUUACCAGAUGUCGACGCGUCUCCACAGUACGCGAUCGGCUAGCCCGAGGACCGUCAUAAACACUAAUAUCUAGUUACCUAAAAUCCUUCAACAGAUACACAGUCUUUGUCCCAGUUACGGGAAGACAGGAGAGACCUAUUUUUCCACGAACGACGUCUCCCACUAGCAACCCUCCCUCAAGGGCGGCUAGCAUCCUUUUCUAACUACCGAUAUGGAGAUUGGCCAAUUAGCAGCAACGUCAAUUUCCCUUACUUUCCGAACGUAGGAUGUCCCCGACGAAUCCGAUGAUCUCUUUUCCUCUGGCGUAUCACCGGGACGGAAAGUCAUUCUCUCUUGCGACCUCACCGACAAAAAGGGAUUAACGCCUUACGGUCAGUGAAUAUCAACACAGAAUCCGACUUAGAUUUUUGCGAGUGCGUACGACUACCGUCCCGUUGUCCGCGGACUCGUUAUCGAACCUAAGACCAUUGUCACUAGCGUCGCGAGUGUGUGGUCAUUGUGAGUUUGUGUCAACUCUGUAACAAUUUCGUGUGUGUCAAUAAAAAUAACUUCAGUGUAAAAGAAAA